RNA transcript from Mercurialis annua (annual mercury), 3506 nucleotides. RefSeq lists it as uncharacterized. The record is from RefSeq and is a predicted model, not a curated record. The transcript has 5 exons. Lineage: Eukaryota; Viridiplantae; Streptophyta; Magnoliopsida; Malpighiales; Euphorbiaceae.
AAAAAUAAUAAGAAGACUGUUUUGGUGUUCCGCAAUGAAAGAAGUGCUGAUCCUGACUGACAUAUUCCACCGCCGCACACUACUCGUCAGAACAACAUGCAAAGUCAGUCAUCUCGUGUCAUCUGGGUCCCUCCUCUCGGUGCCAAUGACUCAGCUCAGAAUCAGAUAUUUAAGCAUUACUCAUACACACAGAUUCAGUUUUUUUCAGCUUUUGCACCAAACGUCACCGUAAAACAACAACAGCUCAGUUAUACAAUCAAGUUGUUUCCCUUGGUUGUCCUUUUUGUUUUGCUUGGAAGCUGAUGGUUAGAGAAGGGUUUCAAUAGGAAAUUCAACUCCUUAUUUUACCCAAUACUGCGAUGGAUUUUUCUCAUUAGAUUUAAAGCAGCAACUUAAGGUUAUGAACAUGCUUGAGAUCUGAUUAAGGAUCAUUAUUUUGCUGUGUCAUGUUACCCAUUUUAUUGUCAGUAAUUAGGUGGCAUGUUAUUUGAGAUUUUUCGGUUUGCAAUUCUUCAUUUCUUGCAUUGUAAUCACUUUUAGGAAAAUUUCAAGGUUAUUCAUGUGUGUAUAUGCAUGCAAUAUCUUUUUCCUAUCUACCAUUUUAACAUAUGAAGAGAUGAAUUGAAAUCGACACACAAAUUGAUUCAUGUUUUUCUGUUAUUAUGUAUAUAAGCUAGUCUGUCCGACCUUGAUCUGUACAAUUAUUCUCUGCUCUUUUUUAUUGAUUUGAUAUAUUUUUAUUGAAGUACUUGUAAAGGGCUUUCCAAUUUAGUUACUAAUGCCAAAGAAGAUAUUAUGAUGUUGGUAAACUUGCCAGAAAGUGGAUUUUAUUCUGUAGGUAACAUUAUCUGCAUUCUUUCUUAGCUAAUCAAUCACUAAAUCCCACCAGUGGUGCAACCUAUAAGUGGAGAUGUGUUCUAGUUUAUACUGAUCGAUAAUUGACUUUUGUCAGGCUCAACAGUUCAGUGCUAUCAUUUGGUUCAUUUUUCUGAUAAAUUUAUCUCAUGCCUUCAGGGAAAGACGAGAGUAAAGUGAUAAUUGACCUGAUAAUGAAGGAAUCACGGAGACUUUAAGGUGUAGAAGAAUUUAGCUGCAUCUUGCUUUGUCUUUCUGAUAUUAUGACCUGAAAUUGGUUAUGCAAGCCUGUUUGUUGUUAUUGAUGUAUUUUUUUUUUAACUCUCCACAUAAUUGGUUUUUUCCAGGAGACAGUGAAUUUCCCCUUGCUCCUUUUUUUUGUUAUUUCUCUGUUAUCAUGAUCAUGUGAUUCAUGUUGCUUACAUUUAGAUUUCUGGUAAGCCUUUGGUUGAGGAGUUUGUUCGGCAUUGCUUCAUUGGUGGAACAAAAGUGCUUUUUGGAACUAUUUCCCUUUUUCUUGUUAACUUGACGUUUUGAUCGUUUGUAUUCCAAAAGUUGAACCGCAACUAAUGCGUAAUGGAUAUUUUAAUUGUUGCAGGAAACAUGAAAGUGCUCGACUGACUGAUUGAUUUAUUUUGAUUUGGAAAAGUCAGGCUCUAGAGUUGCAUUCUCUUUCAGUAAUUAAUGAACUUGCUGAUGUCGGUCUGUGAAGGUGGUCUAUGGUGCAACAUCACUUACUUUCAUAUAUGUUCUGUGUUGUACAAUCAGCAUGUCAUUGGCCAAAAGGAGUUUUAGCUAUUUUCAUCUGCCUUAAAGGUACUUUGGGCUAAUGGAAAAGAUUUAAAAGCAAGUAAGAUGGCCAAUAAUUUUAGGCCUAUCACCCUGAAGAACUAUAUCAUCUAGGGAAGGCGAAGUGCUCGUCUAAUUCUCAUAGAACAUUUGCUGAUGCAGAUUUAGAACUCAAGAAAGGAAUCAUGUGGAAGGGACUUGCAAUUUAGUUCCAGCCGAUCAAAUUCUUUGUUCCGACAUUUUUCCCAAGGAGUACUAGUUCUGCAGAGAGUCUUUCCGUAAAAAGCGAUGUCAGCUCAGAGGGCAGAGAAUCCAUUUGCAAAGAGAGAAAUGAUAUAGCAAUUGAAAGAAUGAAUGAGCACUGGAUAGAUGUAAAUGAAGAUGGUUCAAAGUCUAUGAUGCCGGGAAUAUUUUCCAGUAAGCAACUUAAGAUCCAGUCCUCCUCCUUCAACUUAACAUGUAUUAUUCUGCCAUCUUCUUCAAAUGAUAGCUGUCAGAAGACUACAGCGGAUGCUAUCUCAUGUGAGCUUAACAGGCAUAGUGGUAUCAAUACAUUCACAUCUACCAGCUUAAGGUGCUGUCUAGAGGAUCUUGUUGUAAAAGACUCGGUUCUUGAUACAGCUGCUCAAACGUCUGCUAGAGAUAGCAUGUAUCAUACAGGCUGUUCACCUAGAACCCAAGGCUCAAUAUGUAGUCGUUCCGGAAGAAGAGACUGUGUUAAGCAUGCAGGUGGUAAUGCUAUGGUCUUGGAGAAAAAGGUUCAGAAAUCUGACAUGCGAAGAUGCAUGCAGUGAUUUUCGCCAUUCAGCAUAUGCACGGGGAAUCUCUGCAUUCGGAGGCAGAAUGUUUGGUGAUUCUGCAGUUACUUUCUUGCAAAAUGAAAGCCAGCCGAAAUCUAAUUGUGUAAAAUCUUUGUUCCAGGCAGAUUUAAGUCCGCAGAACUUCAGCAGUCGCAGUAAGCCCCAACAUUUCCUGGUGUUUACACCAACUAUGCAGCGAAGGCCAAAUUACCCAUCACUUCAAUCCCCGUCAUUGGUGCCGCCUCAUGCAUUGUUAUACAAUAAUGCACCCUGUUUUGACCCCAACAUUCCAUUAUUCUCGAGUCUCAAUGCUCCUGGUGUCAUUUCACACGACAUGACAAAUCCACAAAUAUGUGCUUCAUUUCCUUAUCUCUCCACUUUUUCUGGUGCACCACAUUUGACUCUAGGUCAAGGUGGACCUGGUUCCUAUGAAGUUGCUAACUUACGGUUCGGUUUUGAUCUGAAUGGAGGGAUAACUUCAUUAGAAAGUAGAAACUGGAUAGAAAAUGGCGGACAACAGUCUGUUCCUGUAAAUAUCGCAACAACAGAUGAUCAAAAAAGGUCUUUGCAACAUUUUGCUUUAUCUGCUGCUUCCAUGAAAAGGAGCCAACCAGAAGGCGGAUGGGAUUCUCACCAGUUUAGCUUCAGACAAAUGGCUUCAAGGAAGUAGUAACAUACACCAACAAGGACCAAUGACCUAUAGUUCAAAUGGUAUAAGCGCUAAACUGCUAGAUCGUGGGUUCAAUUCCUUCCACAAGAGCUUCUCCUACCCAAUUAUAUAAAAAAAAAAACAUACACCAACAAGGUAAGUGUUAGAUAUUUUUGGAGUAUAGAGUGGGAAGCAAGCCCAUGUGCACAACCAAAAUUGUCAAUAAUAAAUCAGCAACAACCCUUUUCAUUUAGUGUUCGCUUAACUUUUUGUAAUUAAUUAAAGGACAAUACUAUCUGUUUUAUUUAUUUAAUUAUUUUUUCAGAUGGGAAGUUCCUAAGACAUUCUAAUAGAAAACAGCAAAGAAAGACCUUAAUGUAUAGUCAAGUUAAUUAUAAAUUUUGUUCUGUCAA